This 253-nucleotide ribosomal RNA is filed under the name uncultured bacterium. RNAcentral's name for it is "partial 16S ribosomal RNA". It matches the Rfam family "Bacterial small subunit ribosomal RNA", at positions 524 to 776 of the family's 1533-position model. The record is from RNAcentral.
GACGAAGGAUGCAAGCGUUAUCCGGAUUCAUUGGGUUUAAAGGGAGCGUAGGCGGCCUUGUAAGUCAGUGGUGAAAUCUCGCAGCUUAACUGCGAAAUUGCCAUUGAUACUGCAGGGCUUGAGUACAGUUGCCGUUGGCGGAAUAUGACAUGUAGUGGUGAAAUACAUAGAGAUGUCAUAGAACACCGAUUGCGAAGGCAGCUAACGAAACUGUAACUGACGCUGAGGCUCGAAAGUGCGGGGAUCAAACAGG